CCUGUGCUUCUUCCAUGGUCCUCUUAACUUCUAAAAUUUUCUAAACCUGUCUUUUCCACCCCCAAAAUUCCUGUUUGAAUGUUUAUGAAUGUGGGGUACAUAUGCUAUACAAAAAUAAUUUUAUUAGCAAGUGUAUGUGUGCUCACACUGAUAUUUCCAUAUUUUAUAUCUUUUAUUCUUUCUUAACGGUGACAAUUGCACACGGUGCAUCCAGAUCGCAUUGUCUCACCUGCGAAACUCUGAUGGAGCUGGUUGGAGGAAGAGCAGAUUUCUCCUGGAUCUGACUGCCUGGGCCACCUGGGAAGCCAGGUGAUACAUGAAGAGCGACUUUGUCCUGGUUUACAGCUCGAGACACCAAGCAGCAUGCUGCUUCUUUUCCUGUGACAUCCCUUGCGCCCUAAAGACAGAAAACAGGGCUGUUCAUUUCACUGUAGGACCAUCAGCAGGAGCCAACAGGAAACACAGGGAGUGCUCAGCUUCCAGACCCGCGCGAUUUCCAGCUGGACGACACUUGGCUAAUUUCGGGGAGGCUCCGCGGUGUCUGGGCCGCGCCUGCCGCCCGCAGCGCCUGGGAACACUUUGUUGACCGAGGGAAUCAAUGAAUCAGCAAACAAACAGCUUUUGGACAAAGGAGGACCUGACGCAGGUGAAGCGAGAGGAUUCCAGGACUAUUACACGGAUGGCAAGCUGUGGUUGGAAGCAGGUCUGCCGAGGCCUUGGGACCUUUAACCACUGGCGCAGCCUCUAUCCCGCUGGGCAGGGCUGGGCCUGGGGGAAGGAGGCAGCAGAGACCUGCCGCUGCGCAAACAGCGACCACAGCCAAAGACAGAGCUGCACCACCAAGGCUGUCAGCAGAAGUGAGGUUUCAGUGCCGCGAAGGCCUUCAAGGGAAUUGCACUCAUUCCUGUCGAAAUUCACAAGGAGAGGAGGGAGCACACCCGAGCCGCUGACCUGCCUGAAUGCUGGGGAGGCCGGGCUUGUGAUGGAAGCGGGCAUUGUCCUCCAUCGCAGCAGAAAGUACUUAAUUGUCUUUUAGACACAUACGAUAAAGACGCAGAAAGACUUAAUUACGUCUGAAUAUUUUACUCACUUAUGUCCUUCAAAUUCUAGGAUUUCCAGGUGGAUGUGUGCUGGGCUGCAUAUCUGGCGCUUCCGCCAGAUGGGGCGUGCUGUGCUCUCUGUUCCUAAAACACACAGAUAGGAAGGUAUUGAUACUAUACUGUGUCAGGAACUAAGGUUUUUGUAACUUUGUGGUUUUUGCAAAUAAAAAUGCUGUAAUUCCUAUAGUCUGGGCUGCAGUUCAGCCUUUGCUUGGGCAGGGUGCUGUAACUGU
Molecule: long non-coding RNA, 1333 nt
Organism: Myotis myotis
Lineage: Eukaryota; Metazoa; Chordata; Mammalia; Chiroptera; Vespertilionidae
Exons: 3
Source: RefSeq, a predicted model, not a curated record